GACGAACGCUGGCGGCGUGCUUAACACAUGCAAGUCGAACGGAAAGGCCCUGCUUUUGUGGGGUGCUCGAGUGGCGAACGGGUGAGUAACACGUGAGUAACCUGCCCUUGACUUGGGGAUAACUUCAGGAAACUGGGGCUACUACCGGAUAGGAGCUCCUGCUGCAUGGUGGUGUUUGGAAAUUUUCGGCGGUUGGGGAUGGACUCGCGGCUUAUCAGCUUGUUGGUGGGGUAGUGGCUUACCAAGGCUUUGACGGGUAGCCGGCAUGAGAGGGUGACCAGGCACAUUGGGACUGAGAGACGGCGCAGAGUCGUACGGGAGGCAGCAGUGGGGAAUAUGGCACAAUGGGCGGAAGCGUGAGGCAGCAACGCCGCGUGCGGGAUGACGGCCUUCGGGGUGUAAACAGCUUUGGCCUGUGACGAAGCGUGAGUGACGGUAAUGGGUAAAGAAGCACCGGCUAACUACGUG
Molecule: ribosomal RNA, 468 nt
Filed under: uncultured bacterium
Lineage: Bacteria
Description: partial 16S ribosomal RNA
Rfam family: Bacterial small subunit ribosomal RNA
Source: RNAcentral